This 448-nucleotide ribosomal RNA is filed under the name uncultured bacterium. RNAcentral describes it as "bacterial SSU rRNA". It matches the Rfam family "Bacterial small subunit ribosomal RNA", at positions 328 to 792 of the family's 1533-position model. The record is from RNAcentral.
CCACCAGACUCCUACGGGAGGCAGCAGUGGGGGAUAUUGCACAAUGGGGGGAACCCUGAUGCAGCGACGCCGCGUGGGUGAAGAAGUAUUUCGGUAUGUAAAGCCCUAUCGGCAGGGAAGAAAUUGGACGGUACCUGACUAAGAAGCCCCGGCUAACUACGUGCCAGCAGCCGCGGGAAUACGGAGGGGGCAAGCGUUAUCCGGAUUUACUGGGUGUAAAGGGAGCGUAGACGGUUCUGCAAGCCAGAUGUGAAAGCCCGGGGCUCAACCCCGGGACUGCAUUUGGAACUGUAAGGCUAGAGUGUCGGAGAGGCAGGCGGAAUUCCUAGUGUAGCGGCGAAAUGCGUAGAUAUUAGGAGGAACACCAGUGGCGAAGGCGGCCUGCUGGACGAUGACUGACGUUGAGGCUCGAAAGCGUGGGGAGCAAACAGGAUUAGAUACCCUUGUA